RNAcentral lists this long non-coding RNA (409 nucleotides) under Phaseolus vulgaris (common bean). RNAcentral describes it as "long non-coding RNA (PVUL_LNC000331)". Lineage: Eukaryota; Viridiplantae; Streptophyta; Magnoliopsida; Fabales; Fabaceae. The record is from RNAcentral.
CCCAGGCACGGUCGGUUGACGUGGUGUAAUUGCUGACGUGUUGAUCUUCUUCUCCUCUGGUCGAUUGUCCUUUCUUGCUGUCUCCUUUGGUCGGUCGUCCCUUCGUGCUAUCAACUUCGGUCGGGCGGGGGAGGGUACCUGCGAAGGCACUCCGACGCUCAAGUAAGUAUGAGAUUCUAAGCGCAGUUUCGUAAGUGAAUCAAAACGUACCUUUCUCUGGCUUGAGCACAGUAUUUAUAGGAUUGCCUAAUGGGCUUUCUAUCCCUUGGGCUCAGGGUGGUUAUGGAUAUGUCUUGUCAGUCGUGCUCCGGAAUACCCGGGGAACAUAUCUUCUCUAAACGCAUAUUCCUUAUUCUUCGGAGGUGUAUCUUAACCACCUUAGCUUGUCACAUAAAUGCCCUUACAUUUA